RNAcentral lists this small RNA (125 nucleotides) under Marmota monax (woodchuck). Lineage: Eukaryota; Metazoa; Chordata; Mammalia; Rodentia; Sciuridae. The record is from RNAcentral.
GCCGGGUGCAGUGGCACAUGCCUGUAAUCCCAGCGGCUCGGGAGGCUGAGGCAGGAGGAUCACAAGUUCAAAGCCAGCCUCAGCAAAAGUGAGGCACUAAGCAACUCAGUGAGACCCUGUCUCUA